GACGAACGCUGGCGGCGUGCUUAACACAUGCAAGUCGAACGGAAAGGCCCUGCUUUUGUGGGGUGCUCGAGUGGCGAACGGGUGAGUAACACGUGAGUAACCUGCCCUUGACUUUGGGAUAACUUCAGGAAACUGGGGCUAAUACCGGAUAGGAGCUCCUGCUGCAUGGUGGGGGUUGGAAAGUUUCGGCGGUUGGGGAUGGACUCGCGGCUUAUCAGCUUGUUGGUGGGGUAGUGGCUUACCAAGGCUUUGACGGGUAGCCGGCCUGAGAGGGUGACCGGCCACAUUGGGACUGAGAUACGGCCCAGACUCCUACGGGAGGCAGCAGUGGGGAAUAUUGCACAAUGGGCGGAAGCCUGAUGCAGCAACGCCGCGUGCGGGAUGACGGCCUUCGGGUUGUAAACCGCUUUCGCCUGUGACGAAGCGUGAGUGACGGUAAUGGGUAAAGAAGCACCGGCUAACUACGUGCCAGCAGCCGCGGUGAUACGUAGGGUGCGAGCGUUGUCCGGAUUUAUUGGGCGUAAAGGGCUCGUAGGUGGUUGAUCGCGUCGGAAGUGUAAUCUUGGGGCUUAACCCUGAGCGUGCUUUCGAUACGGGUUGACUUGAGGAAGGUAGGGGAGAAUGGAAUUCCUGGUGGAGCGGUGGAAUGCGCAGAUAUCAGGAGGAACACCAGUGGCGAAGGCGGUUCUCUGGGCCUUUCCUGACGCUGAGGAGCGAAAGCGUGGGGAGCGAACAGGCUUAGAUACCCUGGUAGUCCACGCUGUAAACGGUGGGUACUAGGUGUGGGGUCCAUUCCACGGGUUCCGUGCCGUAGCUAACGCUUUAAAUACCCCGCCUGGGGAGUACGGCCGCAAGGCUAAAACUCAAAGGAAUUGACGGGGCCCCGCACAAGCGGCGGAGCAUGCGGAUUAAUUCGAUGCAACGCGUAGAACCUUACCUGGGUUUGACAUGGAUCGGGAGUGCUCAGAGAUGGGUGUGCCUCUUUUGGGGUCGGUUCACAGGUGGUGCAUGGCUGUCGUCAGCUCGUGUCGUGAGAUGUUGGGUUAAGUCCCGCAACGAGCGCAACCCUUGUUCACUGUUGCCAGCACGUUAUGGUGGGGACUCAGUGGAGACCGCCGGGGUCAACUCGGAGGAAGGUGGGGAUGACGUCAAGUCAUCAUGCCCCUUAUGUCCAGGGCUUCACGCAUGCUACAAUGGCUGGUACAGAGAGUGGCGAGCCUGUGAGGGUGAGCGAAUCUCGGAAAGCCGGUCUCAGUUCGGAUUGGGGUCUGCAACUCGACCUCAUGAAGUCGGAGUCGCUAGUAAUCGCAGAUCAGCAACGCUGCGGUGAAUACGUUCCCGGG
This 1343-nucleotide ribosomal RNA is filed under the name uncultured bacterium. RNAcentral describes it as "16S ribosomal RNA". It matches the Rfam family "Bacterial small subunit ribosomal RNA", at positions 28 to 1378 of the family's 1533-position model. The record is from RNAcentral.